Molecule: unclassified non-coding RNA, 200 nt
Filed under: Hevea brasiliensis (rubber tree)
Lineage: Eukaryota; Viridiplantae; Streptophyta; Magnoliopsida; Malpighiales; Euphorbiaceae
Source: RNAcentral
CGACUACGGGCUGAUUAAGCCGCCGCGCAGUGGUGAUGCGCGUUAUGCGGUACUGUUUCACGGCACAUCGCGCGCAUCGAAAGAAUGGCGUGAGGUCGACUGGAUCGGUGCCGGCAAAUGGCUGCACGCGCAGGGCCUUGAGGUUGUGCUGCCGUGGGGCAAUGAGCGCGAGCGGUCGCGCUCUGAGCGGCUUGCUCAAG